This 372-nucleotide ribosomal RNA is filed under the name uncultured organism. RNAcentral describes it as "partial 16S ribosomal RNA". It matches the Rfam family "Bacterial small subunit ribosomal RNA", at positions 527 to 896 of the family's 1533-position model. The record is from RNAcentral.
GUAGGUGGCAAGCGUUGUCCGGAAUUAUUGGGCGUAAAGCGCGCGCAGGCGGUUCUUUAAGUCUGAUGUGAAAGCCCACGGCUCAACCGUGGAGGGUCAUUGGAAACUGGAGAACUUGAGUACAGAAGAGGAAAGCGGAAUUCCACGUGUAGCGGUGAAAUGCGUAGAGAUGUGGAGGAACACCAGUGGCGAAGGCGGCUUUUCUGGUCUGUAACUGACGCUGAGGCGCGAAAGCGUGGGGAGCAAACAGGGAUUAGAUACCCUGGUAGUCCACGCCGUAAACGAUGAGUGCUAAGUGUAGGGGUUUCCGCCCCCUUAGUGCUGCAGCUAACGCAUUAAGCACUCCGCCUGGGGAGUACGGCCGCAAGGCUG